This 459-nucleotide ribosomal RNA is filed under the name uncultured bacterium. Its description in RNAcentral is "partial 16S ribosomal RNA". It matches the Rfam family "Bacterial small subunit ribosomal RNA", at positions 338 to 795 of the family's 1533-position model. The record is from RNAcentral.
CCUACGGGAGGCAGCAGUGAGGAAUAUUGGUCAAUGGCCGCAGGGCUGAACCAGCCAAGUCGCGUGAGGGAUGACGGUCCUAUGGAUUGUAAACCUCUUUUGUCAGGGAGCAAAGUGCGCCACGUGUGGCGUUUUGCGAGUACCUGAAGAAAAAGCAUCGGCUAACUCCGUGCCAGCAGCCGCGGUAAUACGGAGGAUGCGAGCGUUAUCCGGAUUUAUUUGGUUGAAAGGGUGCGCAGGCGGAAUGUCAAGUCAGCGGUAAAAUUUCGGGGCUCAACCCCGUCGUGCCGUUGAAACUGGCGUGCUUGAGUGAGCGAGAAGUAUGCGGAAUGCGUGGUGUAGCGGUGAAAUGCAUAGAUAUCACGCAGAACUCCGAUUGCGAAGGCAGCAUACCGGCGCUCAACUGACGCUCAUGCACGAAAGCGUGGGUAUCGAACAGGAUUAGAUACCCUAGUAGUC